AGUGAACGCUGGCGGUAGGCCUAACACAUGCAAGUCGAACGGCAGCACAGUAAGAGCUUGCUCUUACGGGUGGCGAGUGGCGGACGGGUGAGGAAUACAUCGGAAUCUACUUUUUCGUGGGGGAUAACGUAGGGAAACUUACGCUAAUACCGCAUACGACCUACGGGUGAAAGCAGGGGAUCUUCGGACCUUGCGCGAUUGAAUGAGCCGAUGUCGGAUUAGCUAGUUGGCGGGGUAAAGGCCCACCAAGGCGACGAUCCGUAGCUGGUCUGAGAGGAUGAUCGGCCACACUGGAACGGAGACACGGACCAGACUCAUACGGGAGGCACCAGAAGGGAAGCUUCCGCAAUGGGGGAAAGUGUGACGGAGCAACGCCGCGUGAGUGAUGAAGGUCUUCGGAUCGUAAAACUCUGUUAUGAGGGAAAAACAAAUGUGUAAGGAACUAUGCACGGCUGGACGGUACCUAAUCAGAAAGCCACGGCUAACUACGUG
RNAcentral lists this ribosomal RNA (492 nucleotides) under uncultured bacterium. RNAcentral describes it as "partial 16S ribosomal RNA". It matches the Rfam family "Bacterial small subunit ribosomal RNA", at positions 29 to 507 of the family's 1533-position model. The record is from RNAcentral.